Molecule: transfer RNA, 116 nt
Filed under: bacterium
Lineage: Bacteria
Description: tRNA-Asn
Source: RNAcentral
GCCGUCGUAGCUCAGGAAGCCCGCCCGCAACGCCUUCGCAUAGCGAUGGCGGGCGCGGUAGAGCACCUGGUUAUUUAAUCAGGAGGUCUCUGGUUCGAGUCCAGGCGUCGGCCCCA